AGUGAACGCUGGCGGUAGGCCUAACACAUGCAAGUCGAACGGCAGCACAGUAAGAGCUUGCUCUUACGGGUGGCGAGUGGCGGACGGGUGAGGAAUACAUCGGAAUCUACUUUUUCGUGGGGGAUAACGUAGGUAAACUUACGCUAAUACCGCAUACGACCUACGGUUGAAAGCAGGGGAUCUUCGCACCUUGCGCGAUUGAAUGAGCCGAUGUCGGAUUAGCUAGUUGGCGGGGUAAAGGCCCACCAAGGCGACGAUCCGUAGCUGGUCUGAGAGGAUGAUCGGCCACACUGGAACUGAGACACGGUCCAGACGCCUACGGGAGGCAGCAGUGGGGAAUAUUGGACAAUGGGCGCAAGCCUGAUACAGCCAUACCGCGUGGGUGAAGAAGGCCUUCGGGUUGUAAAGCCCUUUUGUUGGGAAAGAAAAGCAGCAGGUUAAUACCCAGCUGUUCUGACGGUACCCAAAGAAUAAGCACCGGCUAACUUCGUG
This 492-nucleotide ribosomal RNA is filed under the name uncultured bacterium. RNAcentral describes it as "partial 16S ribosomal RNA". It matches the Rfam family "Bacterial small subunit ribosomal RNA", at positions 29 to 507 of the family's 1533-position model. The record is from RNAcentral.